GACGAACGCUGGCGGCGUGCUUAACACAUGCAAGUCGAACGGAGAAGCGCCGUCCUUUUUGGUCGGUGUGGAUGAGCGGCGAAGGGGUGAGUAAGACGUGAGCCACCUGCUCCCUCCUUCGGGACAACCGCAUGAAAGAGUGGCUAAUACGGGAUAUUCUGAGUCUGAUGCUUGAUGGGUCUGGGACAGAUAUUGUUUCGGUGGGGGAUGGGCUCGCGGCGUAUCAGCUAGUUGGUGGGGUGACGGCCUACCAAGGCGGUGACGGGUAGACGGCCUGAGAGGGUGGCCGGCAGAGCGGGUGCAGAGACACGGUGCAGACUACGACAGGCGGCAGCAGGGAGGAGUAUUACACGGGGGGAAGAAGGCUGAAGCAGCGACGCCGCGUGGGGGAGGGGGGGCGUCGGGUAGUACGCCCUUUUCGUUGGAGAAUCAGUCCGGCAGGGACUAUGCGUGGUUUGACGGUACCUAGAUAAGAAGCGCCGGCUAACUACGUG
This 494-nucleotide ribosomal RNA is filed under the name uncultured bacterium. RNAcentral's name for it is "partial 16S ribosomal RNA". It matches the Rfam family "Bacterial small subunit ribosomal RNA", at positions 28 to 507 of the family's 1533-position model. The record is from RNAcentral.